RNAcentral lists this unclassified non-coding RNA (402 nucleotides) under soil metagenome. RNAcentral's name for it is "partial contains 5.8S ribosomal RNA, internal transcribed spacer 2, and large subunit ribosomal RNA". The stretch from base 1 to 121 matches the Rfam family "5.8S ribosomal RNA", at positions 35 to 154 of the family's 154-position model. The record is from RNAcentral.
GAUGAAGGAACGCAGCGAAAUGCGAUAAGUAAUGUGAAUUGCAGAAUUCAGUGAAUCAUCGAAUCUUUGAACGCAUCUUGCGCUCCUUGGUAUUCCGAGGAGCAUGCCUGUUUGAGUGUCAUUUAAUUCUCAACCCCUCCAGUUUUCUUGACUGGUUAGGUGGCUUGGAUGUGGGGGAUUAAUCUGCGGGCCUCUUUUAGAGGUCGGCUCCCCUGAAAUGCAUUAGCGGAACCGUUUGCGGGUCUGUCACUGGUGUGAUAAUUAUCUACGCCAAAAGACAUCUGCUCUCUGGGUUAUUUCUGCUUCAAAUUGUCCUUUGUUUUGGACAACGAAUAACUGAAUACUUGACCUCAAAUCAGGUAGGACUAUCCGCUGAACUUAAGCAUAUCAAUAAGCGGAGGA